This 64-nucleotide microRNA precursor is filed under the name Tursiops truncatus (common bottlenose dolphin). Its description in RNAcentral is "miRNA (ENSTTRG00000024669.1)". The record is from RNAcentral. Lineage: Eukaryota; Metazoa; Chordata; Mammalia; Artiodactyla; Delphinidae.
UGGCCAAAAAGUUCGUUCGGGUUUUUCCAUAACACCUUACAGAACGAACUUUUUGGCCAACCCA